This 519-nucleotide ribosomal RNA is filed under the name uncultured eukaryote. RNAcentral describes it as "SSU rRNA". It matches the Rfam family "Eukaryotic small subunit ribosomal RNA", at positions 1161 to 1699 of the family's 1831-position model. The record is from RNAcentral.
AGGGCACCACCAGGAGUGGAGCCUGCGGCUUAAUUUGACUCAACACGGGAAAACUCACCCGGCCCGGACACUGGAAGGAUUGACAGAUUGAGAGCUCUUUCUUGAUUCAGUGGGUGGUGGUGCAUGGCCGUUCUUAGUUGGUGGAGUGAUUUGUCUGGUUAAUUCCGAUAACGAACGAGACUCUAGCCUACUAAAUAGAUCGUCGGCUUACAAACGCCGGCGAGACUUCUUAGAGGGACAGGCGGUGAUUCAACCGCACGAAACAGAGCAAUAACAGGUCUGUGAUGCCCUUAGAUGUCCGGGGCCGCACGCGCGCUACACUGAAGUGAUCAGCGUGCUUUUUCAACCUACUCUGUCAAGAGUGGGGAACCCAAUGAACCUUCUUCGUGAUUGGGAUAGGGGAUUGUAAUUAUUCCCCUUGAACGAGGAAUUCCCAGUAAGCGCGAGUCAUAAGCUCGCGUUGAUUACGUCCCUGCCCUUUGUGCACACCGCCCGUCGCUACUACCGAUUGAAUGUUUU